This 387-nucleotide unclassified non-coding RNA is filed under the name soil metagenome. RNAcentral's name for it is "partial contains 5.8S ribosomal RNA, internal transcribed spacer 2, and large subunit ribosomal RNA". The stretch from base 1 to 120 matches the Rfam family "5.8S ribosomal RNA", at positions 35 to 154 of the family's 154-position model. The record is from RNAcentral.
GAUGAAGAACGUAGCGAAAUGCGAUAGGUAAUGUGAAUUGCAGAAUUCAGUGAAUCAUCGAAUCUUUGAACGCACCUUGCACCCUUUGGUAUUCCGAAGGGUAUGCUCGUUUGAGUGUCAUUGUACUCUCACACUUCUAAUUCCUUUCGGGAUUGGGAGCGGUGGACUUGGGUGUUGCUGCUUUAGUUGUGGCUCACCUCAAAUAAGUUAGUGCAACUCUUGGUUGGACAUAGUACGGCGUGAUAAGUGUCUUCGCCGGCGCCUCUGUAAGGAGGGUGGCCGAUCGGGAGCUCUGUGCUUCAAACCGUCUUCGGACAAUCUUUGACAACUUGACCUCAAAUCGAGUAGGACUACCCGCUGAACUUAAGCAUAUCAAUAAGCGGAGGA